This 492-nucleotide ribosomal RNA is filed under the name uncultured bacterium. Its description in RNAcentral is "partial 16S ribosomal RNA". It matches the Rfam family "Bacterial small subunit ribosomal RNA", at positions 29 to 507 of the family's 1533-position model. The record is from RNAcentral.
AGUGAACGCUGGCGGUAGGCCUAACACAUGCAAGUCGAACGGCAGCACAGUAAGAGCUUGCUCUUACGGGUGGCGAGUGGCGGACGGGUGAGGAAUACAUCGGAAUCUACUUUUUCGUGGGGGAUAACGUAGGGAAACUUACGCUAAUACCGCAUACGACCUACGGGGGAAAGCAGGGGAUCUUCGGACCUUGCGCGAAUGAAUGAGCCGAUGUCGGAUUAGCUAGUUGGCGGGGUAAAGGCCCACCAAGGCGACGAUCCGUAGCUGGUGCGAGAGGAUGAUCAGCCACCUGGGAACUUGGACACGGUCCAGACUCCUACGGGAGGCAGCAGUCGGGAAUAUUGGACAAUGGGCGCAAGCCUGAUCCAGUCAUCCCGCGUGGGUGAAGAAGGCCUUCGGGUUGUAAAGCCCUUUUGUUGGUAAAGAAAAGCAGCAGGUUAAUACCCCGCUGUUCUGACGGUACCCAAAGAAUAAGCACCGGCUAACUUCGUG